This 843-nucleotide ribosomal RNA is filed under the name Geoscypha violacea. RNAcentral's name for it is "partial large subunit ribosomal RNA". The record is from RNAcentral. Lineage: Eukaryota; Fungi; Ascomycota; Pezizomycetes; Pezizales; Pezizaceae.
GAGGAAAAGAAACCAACAGGGAUUGCCUUAGUAACGGCGAGUGAAGCGGCAAAAGCUCAGAUUUGAAAUCUGGCGUCAUUUUGGCGUCCGAGUUGUAAUCUGUAGAGGAGUAUUCGAGUGUGGAUUUGGCUUAAGUUCCUUGGAACAGGACGUCAUAGAGGGUGAGAACCCCGUUAACGGCCUACGUCUUAUGCUCAUGUGAAUCUCCUUCAACGAGUCGAGUUGUUUGGGAAUGCAGCUCUAAAUGGGUGGUAAAUUCCAUCUAAAGCUAAAUACUGGCAAGAGACCGAUAGCGCACAAGUAGAGUGAUCGAAAGAUGAAAAGAACUCUGAACAGAGAGUUAAAUAGUACGUGAAAUUGUUGAAAGGGAAGCACUUGCUACCAGACACGCCUGUAGUUGAUCAACCUCCAUUCUUGGUGGUGCACUCGGCUAUAGGUGGGUCAGCAUCAGUUACAACGGUGGGAUAAAGACUUUGGGAAUGUAGCUUCCUUCGGGAAGUGUUAUAGCCCUUGGUGUAAUACCAUCUGAUGUGACUGAGGCCCGCGCUUCGGCGAGGAUGCUGGCAUAAUGGUCGUAAGUGACCCGUCUUGAAACACGGACCAAGGAGUCUAACAUCUAUGCGAGUGUUUGGGCGUCAAAACCCUUACGYGSAAUGMAAGUGAMUGAAGGUGGGAACCGCAAGGUGCACCAUCGACCGAUCCUGAUGUUUUCGGAUGGAUUUGAGUAGGAGCAUAGCUGUUGGGACCCGAAAGAUGGUGAACUAUGCCUGAAUAGGGUGAAGCCAGAGGAAACUCUGGUGGAGGCUCGCAGCGGUUUCUGACGUGCAAAUCGAUCGUCAAAUU